GGCCUUGGCGGGCAGGGCUUACACAUGCAGUCGAGCGGGGAAGAGUAGCUUGCUACUUUACCUAGCGGCGGACGGGUGAGUAAUGCUUAGGAAUCUGCCUAUUAGUGGGGGACAACAUCUCGAAAGGGAUGCUAAUACCGCAUACGUCCUACGGGAGAAAGCAGGGGACCUUCGGGCCUUGCGCUAAUAGAUGAGCCUAAGUCGGAUUAGCUAGUUGGUGGGGUAAAGGCCUACCAAGGCGACGAUCUGUAGCGGGUCUGAGAGGAUGAUCCGCCACACUGGGACUGAGACACGGCCCAGACUCCUACGGGAGGCAGCAGUGGGGAAUAUUGGACAAUGGGGGGAACCCUGAUCCAGCCAUGCCGCGUGUGUGAAGAAGGCCUUUUGGUUGUAAAGCACUUUAAGCGAGGAGGAGGCUACCGAGAUUAAUACUCUUGGAUAGUGGACGUUACUCGCAGAAUAAGCACCGGCUAACUCUGUGCCAGCAGCCGCGGUAAUACAGAGGGUGCAAGCGUUAAUCGGAUUUACUGGGCGUAAAGCGCGCGUAGGUGGCCAAUUAAGUCAAAUGUGAAAUCCCCGAGCUUAACUUGGGAAUUGCAUUCGAUACUGGUUGGCUAGAGUAUGGGAGAGGAUGGUAGAAUUCCAGGUGUAGCGGUGAAAUGCGUAGAGAUCUGGAGGAAUACCGAUGGCGAAGGCAGCCAUCUGGCCUAAUACUGACACUGAGGUGCGAAAGCAUGGGGAGCAACAGGAUUAGAUACCCUGGUAGUCCAUGCCGUAAACGAUGUCUACUAGCCGUUGGGGCCUUUGAGGCUUUAGUGGCGCAGCUAACGCGAUAAGUAGACCGCCUGGGGAGUACGGUCGCAAGACUAAAACUCAAAUGAAUUGACGGGGGCCCGCACAAGCGGUGGAGCAUGUGGUUUAAUUCGAUGCAACGCGAAGAACCUUACCUGGUCUUGACAUAGUAAGAACUUCCAGAGAUGGAUUGGUGCCUUCGGGAACUACAUACAGGUGCUGCAUGCUGUCGUCAGCUCGUGUCGUGAGAUGUGGGUUAAGUCCCGCAACGAGCGCAACCCUUUUCCUUAUUUGCCAGCGGGUUAAGCCGGAACUUAAA
Molecule: ribosomal RNA, 1111 nt
Filed under: Acinetobacter sp.
Lineage: Bacteria; Pseudomonadati; Pseudomonadota; Gammaproteobacteria; Moraxellales; Moraxellaceae
Description: bacterial SSU rRNA
Rfam family: Bacterial small subunit ribosomal RNA
Source: RNAcentral